This is a non-coding RNA of Phrynosoma platyrhinos (Desert horned lizard), 72 nucleotides long. Lineage: Eukaryota; Metazoa; Chordata; Lepidosauria; Squamata; Phrynosomatidae. The record is from the annotation of a GenBank genome assembly.
CUCUGUGUGGCAUAUUGGUUUGACCAUUGGACUAGAAUGCUGGAGACCUGGGUUUGAAUCCCAGCUCAGUCA